UAGGUUAACGAGGCGAACCGGGGGAACUGAAACAUCUAAGUACCCCGAGGAAAAGAAAUCAACCGAGAUUCCCCCAGUAGCGGCGAGCGAACGGGGAGCAGCCCAGAGUCUGAAUCAGCUUGUGUGUUAGUGGAACGGUCUGGAAAGUCCGACGGUACAGGGUGAUAGUCCCGUACACCAAAAUGCACAGGCUGUGAACUCGAAGAGUAGGGCGGGACACGUGGUAUCCUGUCUGAAUAUGGGGGGACCAUCCUCCAAGGCUAAAUACUCCUGACUGACCGAUAGUGAACCAGUACCGUGAGGGAAAGGCGAAAAGAACCCCGGCGAGGGGAGUGAAAAAGAACCUGAAACCGUGUACGUACAAGCAGUGGGAGCACCUUCGGGUGUGACUGCGUACCUUUUGUAUAAUGGGUCAGCGACUUAUAUUCUGUAGCAAGGUUAACCGUAUAGGGGAGCCGCAGGGAAACCGAGUCUUAACUGGGCGUUAAGUUGCAGGGUAUAGACCCGAAACCCGGUGAUCUAGCCAUGGGCAGGUUGAAGGUUGGGUAACACUAACUGGAGGACCGAACCGACUAAUGUUGAAAAAUUAGCGGAUGACUUGUGGCUGGGGGUGAAAGGCCAAUCAAACCGGGAGAUAGCUGGUUCUCCCCGAAAGCUAUUUAGGUAGCGCCUCGUGAAUUCAUCUUCGGGGGUAGAGCACUGUUUCGGCUAGGGGGUCAUCCCGACUUACCAACCCGAUGCAAACUACGAAUACCGAAGAAUGUUAUCACGGGAGACACACGGCGGGUGCUAACGUCCGUCGUGAAGAGGGAAACAACCCAGACCGCCAGCUAAGGUCCCAAAGUCACAGUUAAGUGGGAAACGAUGUGGGAAGGCACAGACAGCCAGGAUGUUGGCUUAGAAGCAGCCAUCAUUUAAAGAAAGCGUAAUAGCUCACUGGUCGAGUCGGCCUGCGCGGAAGAUGUAACGGGGCUAAACUGUGCACCGAAGCUGCGGCAGCGACACUAUGUGUUGUUGGGUAGGGGAGCGUUCUGUAAGCCUGCGAAGGUGGCCUGUGAGGGUUGCUGGAGGUAUCAGAAGUGCGAAUGCUGACAUAAGUAACGAUAAUGCGGGUGAAAAGCCCGCACGCCGGAAGACCAAGGGUUCCUGUCCAACGUUAAUCGGGGCAGGGUGAGUCGACCCCUAAGGCGAGGCCGAAAGGCGUAGUCGAUGGGAAACAGGUUAAUAUUCCUGUACUUGGUGUUACUGCGAAGGGGGGACGGAGAAGGCUAUGUUAGCCGGGCGACGGUUGUCCCGGUUUAAGCAUGUAGGCGGAGGU
Molecule: ribosomal RNA, 1318 nt
Filed under: Klebsiella aerogenes
Lineage: Bacteria; Pseudomonadati; Pseudomonadota; Gammaproteobacteria; Enterobacterales; Enterobacteriaceae
Description: partial 23S ribosomal RNA
Rfam family: Bacterial large subunit ribosomal RNA
Source: RNAcentral